Molecule: long non-coding RNA, 686 nt
Organism: Glycine soja
Lineage: Eukaryota; Viridiplantae; Streptophyta; Magnoliopsida; Fabales; Fabaceae
Exons: 2
Source: RefSeq, a predicted model, not a curated record
CAAGUUAUAUAUAUCCUCAUCUAUAUAAGAAACAGCUGUUAUCACAAACCUUGCCAUUUUCAGUUUUUGUUUGUGAUCUGUAGUGGGAAGUCUCAAUGCUGUAGUUGUAUAUAAAAGGAAGUUCUUUUUUUCAGCUAAAGUAUCAAGAACCACACCCAUCCUCUCCUUUCUCUUACUUGAACACUUAUUCAUACUAUUAUUUGCCUUCAUUUUCGUGGCAAGGUUUUCUAUUGUUUUUAAUUAUGAAGUUGAUGGAGGUGGAGAUUGUGAAUCAAAGUUUGGGGAUUCUGAUUUGAAGGUCGUGGAUAUUGCCUUUAAUGGUGCUGUUUAACCUUAUAAUGGAAAAAAAAAGUCGACGAUAUCUUGGAGCUGAAGAUGUCAAUAGUUUGUCAAAAGUGGAUUGAACCAUCUCACAGUUGUAGAAGUGGGCUUUCAAGAAAGCCCAAGUUGAAAAAUAGUUAUUUUAUUUAUUAGGUUGCUCUGUUAUUUGUCUUAUGUUUCAUGAAGAUGUAUUGCUCCUUUUACCAUUUUUGUUGUUGUCUUCCUGAGGUGUUUCUUAACUUUUAUUGUCAUGUUCCAGGAAGAUCGUCUAUUCUUCCUUUUAUAAAUUCCAUUAAUUGUUAUCUUUCGGUGUUGUUUUGAGUUGUAUUGUUAUGUUCCAGGAAGAUCUAUUAUUCCUUUUGUCA